UUCGGCAUUUCAAGUCCCCAGACCC
Molecule: unclassified non-coding RNA, 25 nt
Filed under: Mus musculus (house mouse)
Lineage: Eukaryota; Metazoa; Chordata; Mammalia; Rodentia; Muridae
Description: oocyte_clustered_small_RNA11916
Source: RNAcentral